Molecule: ribosomal RNA, 395 nt
Filed under: Rhipicephalus sanguineus (brown dog tick)
Lineage: Eukaryota; Metazoa; Arthropoda; Arachnida; Ixodida; Ixodidae
Description: partial 16S ribosomal RNA
Source: RNAcentral
CUAUACGAAGGUAUUGAAAUAAGAUUUUAAAUGAGUGCUAAGAGAAUGGACUCUCAGAGAAAAACUUUUUUUAUAUUAAAAAUUGAAAUUUUUUUAAUUUGUGCAGAAACAAUUAUUAAUAUUAAGGACAAGAAGACCCUAUGAAUUUAUUAAAUUUCAUUCAAUAUGUAAUUACUAUUGAAGAAAUUUUGGCUGGGGCGGCUAAAAAAUAUUUUAAACUUUUUAAAAAUAAAAUGAUCCAUUAUUAAUGAUUAUAUGUUAAAUACUCUAGGGAUAACAGCGUUAUAUUUUUUGAUAGACCAUAUUGACAAAAAAGUUUGCGACCUCGAUGUUGGAUUAGGAUACUUUUUUAAUGCAGAUAUUAAAAAAAGAAGUUUGUUCAACUUUCAAUUUCC